GCUAGGCCGAGGAGGAGUCACCCGCUGCCCAAAGGGUUUUAGCGAACUGCGCCCGCCCCCACCAGGACCGGAGUCCGCACCCCCAGGCUGGGCGCAGUCUCUGGGGUUCCUUCCGGUUCACACCCUCUGUCACUCCGAGAUCCUCUGGACUCCAGAGCGAGGAACCCUGGGUCUUUGUACACGUGUCUGUUUAAGCGGUUGCGUCGCAAAUUUACAUAUAUCUGCAUGUCAUUAACAUAGAGGCGGAGCCGGAACUUGUUUGGGCAACUAUCCCUGGACAGUUCCCCUGGCUUUGCUUUCAUCCCAUCUGAGGGCCACCUGGACUGCGCAUGCCUCCCAACAUGGCAGGAGAAACUUCCAGAUGUCAGGGCAGACCGGAUUCCAGCUGAGAUGAGAAUUAUUGGCCAGAUCAGAGUCCUCCAUCUGCUCUAAAGAAAUGGACCUGAAGGUUCUUCUGAUCUGAAAGAAGUUCCCAUGGAAAACCCUCAGACUGGGAAGCUGAGGCAGGAGGAUGCUGUCUUAGUGUUACUGCUUCUGUAAUGAGACCAUCAUGACCACAAGC
RNAcentral lists this long non-coding RNA (562 nucleotides) under Mus pahari (shrew mouse). Its description in RNAcentral is "lncRNA (MGP_PahariEiJ_G0006248.1)". The record is from RNAcentral. Lineage: Eukaryota; Metazoa; Chordata; Mammalia; Rodentia; Muridae.